Pelobates cultripes (western spadefoot toad) is the source of this 201-nucleotide non-coding RNA. The record is from the annotation of a GenBank genome assembly. Lineage: Eukaryota; Metazoa; Chordata; Amphibia; Anura; Pelobatidae.
CCAAACAGCCACAUUACAAAUUUACAUCUUUGUGUUUUGUUUUUUUUAACAAUCCAAGGUUUUUAAUUUCAUAUAGCACCACCAGAAUUGUAGAGGCUGAGUUAUGGAUGUUUAUGCCAUCUAUUUCACUUAAACGUUUUCUAAGCUCUUGGCGUGUAUUACUCACAGGUUAUGUAGUAAUGCCAUCUUACUGCUCAUCCU